CCUACGUGAGGCAGCAGUGAGGAAUAUUGGUCAAUGGGCGCGAGCCUGAACCAGCCAAGUAGCGUGAAGGAUGACUGCCCUACGGGUUGUAAACUUCUUUUAUACGGGAAUAACGUGAGUCACGUGUGCCUUUUUGUAUGUACUUUAUGAAUAAGGAUCGGCUAACUCCGUGCCAGCAGCCGCGGUAAUACGGAGGAUCCGAGCGUUAUCCGGAUUUAUUGGGUUUAAAGGGAGCGUAGAUGGGUUGUUAAGUCAGUUGUGAAAGUUUGUGGCGCAACCGUAAAAUUGCAAUUGAUACUGGCAGUCUUGAGUCCAGUUGAGGUAGGCGGAAUUCGUGGUGUAGCGGUGAAAUGCUUAGAUAUCACGAAGAACCCCGAUUGCGAAGGCAGCUUACUAAACUGCCACUGACAUUGAUGCUCGAAAGUGUGGGUAUCAAACAGGAUUAGAUACCCUUGUAGUC
Molecule: ribosomal RNA, 460 nt
Filed under: uncultured bacterium
Lineage: Bacteria
Description: partial 16S ribosomal RNA
Rfam family: Bacterial small subunit ribosomal RNA
Source: RNAcentral